UGCAGUCGACGGAAGUCGUUAUAAAAAGGAUUGAAGAUUUAUCUGAUUGAGAUUUUAUAACAAUGGCUUUAGUGGCGGACUGGUGAGUAACGCGUGAGCAACCUGCCUACUAGAGGGGAAUAACAGUGAGAAAUCAUUGCUAAUACCGCAUAUGCCAUGAACAUCACAUGAUGAAAAUGGGAAAAGAGUAAUCUGCUAGUAGAUGGGCUCGCGUCUGAUUAGAUAGUUGGUGGGGUAACGGCCUACCAAGUCGACGAUCAGUAGCCGGACUGAGAGGUUGAACGGCCACAUUGGGACUGAGAUACGGCCCAGACUCCUACGGGAGGCAGCAGUCGGGAAUAUUGCGCAAUGGAGGAAACUCUGACGCAGUGACGCCGCGUAUAGGAAGAAGGUUUUCGGAUUGUAAACUAUUGUCGUUAGGGAAGAUACAAGACAGUACCUAAGGAGGAAGCUCCGGCUAACUACGUGCCAGCAGCCGCGGUAAUACGUAGGGAGCAAGCGUUAUCCGGAUUUAUUGGGUGUAAAGGGUGCGUAGACGGGACAACAAGUUAGUUGUGAAAUCCCUCGGCUUAACUGAGGAACUGCAACUAAAACUAUUGUUCUUGAGUGUUGGAGAGGAAAGUGGAAUUCCUAGUGUAGCGGUGAAAUGCGUAGAUAUU
Molecule: ribosomal RNA, 659 nt
Filed under: uncultured bacterium
Lineage: Bacteria
Description: bacterial SSU rRNA
Rfam family: Bacterial small subunit ribosomal RNA
Source: RNAcentral